GACGAACGCUGGCGGCGUGCUUAACACAUGCCAGUCGAACGGAAAGGCCCUGCUUUUGUGGGGUGCUCGAGUGGCGAACGGGUGAGUAACACGUGAGUAACCUGCCCUUGACUUUGGGAUAACUUCAGGAAACUGGGGCUAAUACCGGAUAGGAGCUCCUGCUGCAUGGUGGGGGUUGGAAAGUUUCGGCGGUUGGGGAUGGACUCGCGGCUUAUCAGCUUGUUGGUGGGGUAGUGGCUUACCAAGGCUUUGACGGGUAGCCGGCCUGAGAGGGUGACCGGCCACAUUGGGACUGAGAUACGGCCCAGACUCCUACGGGAGGCAGCGGUGGGGAAUAUUGCACAAUGGGCGGAAGCCGGAUGCAGCAACGCCGCGUGCGGGAUGACGGCCUUCGGGUUGUAAACCGCUUUCGCCUGUGACGAAGCGUGAGUGACGGUAAUGGAUAAAGAAGCACCGGCUAACUACGUG
Molecule: ribosomal RNA, 468 nt
Filed under: uncultured bacterium
Lineage: Bacteria
Description: partial 16S ribosomal RNA
Rfam family: Bacterial small subunit ribosomal RNA
Source: RNAcentral